Molecule: long non-coding RNA, 1066 nt
Organism: Oreochromis niloticus (Nile tilapia)
Lineage: Eukaryota; Metazoa; Chordata; Actinopteri; Cichliformes; Cichlidae
Exons: 2
Source: RefSeq, a predicted model, not a curated record
AUGGGGAAGGCUUUAGGACCCAGGGGACCCAAUGGAGGAUAUAAAAGAGGAAGUAGCAGCAGGUGCUCUUCAUUCCCACUGACGAGCGGCUGUGAACAAUGGUUGUGUGAGUAGGUGAAGAGCCUGAGAAGUUUUAAUUGUCUGCUACACAAACAGUUGUUUUAAACCUCUACAGCAGAGGUGCGAGUAGUGAUUUUUAGAAGACAAGCCAAGAUAAGCCAGGUGUGCAGCAAACACAGUUGUCUGCUGGAGGUAUGUUAACUUAAUAUAUUUGACAUUAAAAAAAGUAUAUUUAUGCACUAUAAUCUAAUUUAUAUUGUAUUGCCUCCUGCAGGACAGGCUGCACAUGUGAAUUUGUCACUGUUUUUUCCUCCUCUCCUCUAACACUCUUACUAAAAUAAACAGGGCCACCCGAAAAUAAAAAACAAAACACUGUAACUGAUAUGACCUGGAUCCUGUCGACAACGCCAAAUAAUGUAGCGGGUAAAAGCCACCGAGUGUUCGCUAAGGGCCUCUAUACGACUUGUGCAAACUUUCAGGCCCAAAGCUCUUACAGGAACGAGCCCAGAAUAAACGGGACAAGAGGGUCAAUAUCAGUCAAAUAUGUCAAAAUUUAUUAUUUUAAAAGAAAACACAAGGGGUUUGUAAAAGGCCUAAAACAUCAAAAUAGAGAAAAAGUCACUAACGACUGCAGUAUAGUUUUAUUGGUGCAACCUGCCAGCAAUGCAGCUAUCACCUGAGGGCUUGCUCUACCCCGGUGGUCCCAGAUGCUCGUUACUUUAAAAGAAAGAAAUCCACCCCAAAUAAAUACGAGCCCAACCGAACACUUAUCGCAUGCACUAAGUGUUUUAGUCCAGGCAAUCAUCGGUGGCACUAAAAUCACUCUUAAUAAAACUUGUUCACAGCAAAUCCACACGGAGCACCUCUAAAAGACCUAAUUCCCCUAAGGUAAGAGCCCAGCUCAGGGAUUGCACGUUGCCCGACUAAUAUUGCACCAGCCCAGUAGAAAUAAAAACAAACCCAGCAUAAAAAACAAACAGUUUUAAAAGGUGACCCUACUAAAACC